RNAcentral lists this transfer RNA (72 nucleotides) under Cryomorphaceae bacterium BACL18 MAG-120507-bin74. RNAcentral's name for it is "tRNA-Arg". It matches the Rfam family "tRNA". Rfam says of the family: Transfer RNA (tRNA) molecules are approximately 80 nucleotides in length. Their secondary structure includes four short double-helical elements and three loops (D, anti-codon, and T loops). RNAcentral also lists the same sequence under 1 other name. The record is from RNAcentral. Lineage: Bacteria; Pseudomonadati; Bacteroidota; Flavobacteriia; Flavobacteriales; Cryomorphaceae.
GGCUCUGUAGUACAAUGGAUAGUAUGUGGGUUUCCGGAGCCUAAGAUGCAGGUUCGAUUCCUGCCAGGGCCA